Molecule: ribosomal RNA, 429 nt
Filed under: Gemmatimonadota bacterium
Lineage: Bacteria; Pseudomonadati; Gemmatimonadota
Description: Gemmatimonadetes bacterium partial 16S ribosomal RNA
Rfam family: Bacterial small subunit ribosomal RNA
Source: RNAcentral
UAGGGAAUCUUCGGCAAUGGACGAAAGUCUGACCGAGCAACGCCGCGUGAGUGAAGAAGGUUUUCGGAUCGUAAAACUCUGUUGUUAGAGAAGAACAAGGACGUUAGUAACUGAACGUCCCCUGACGGUAUCUAACCAGAAAGCCACGGCUAACUACGUGCCAGCAGCCGCGGUAAUACGUAGGUGGCAAGCGUUGUCCGGAAUUAUUGGGCGUAAAGCGAGCGCAGGCGGUUUCUUAAGUCUGAUGUGAAAGCCCCCGGCUCAACCGGGGAGGGUCAUUGGAAACUGGGAGACUUGAGUGCAGAAGAGGAGAGUGGAAUUCCAUGUGUAGCGGUGAAAUGCGUAGAUAUAUGGAGGAACACCAGUGGUGAAGGCGGCUCUCUGGUCUGUAACUGACGCUGAGGCUCGAAAGCGUGGGGAGCAAACAGG